GAUGAACGCUGGCGGCGUGCCUAAUACAUGCAAGUAGAACGCUGAAGGAGGAGCUUGCUCUUCUGGAUGAGUUGCGAACGGGUGAGUAACGCGUAGGUAACCUGCCUGGUAGCGGGGGAUAACUAUUGGAAACGAUAGCUAAUACCGCAUGACAACAGUUAUUGCAUGAUAACUGUUUAAAAGGGGCAACUGCUCCACUACCAGAUGGACCUGCGUUGUAUUAGCUAGUUGGUGAGGUAACGGCUCACCAAGGCAACGAUACAUAGCCGACCUGAGAGGGUGAUCGGCCACACUGGGACUGAGACACGGCCCAGACUCCUACGGGAGGCAGCAGUAGGGAAUCUUCGGCAAUGGACGGAAGUCUGACCGAGCAACGCCGCGGGAGUGAAGAAGGUUGUCGGAUCGUAAAGCUCUGUUGUAAGAGAAGAACGAGUGUGAGAGUGGAAAGUUCACAAUGUGACGGUAGCUUACCAGAAAGGGACGGCUAACUACGUG
This 495-nucleotide ribosomal RNA is filed under the name uncultured bacterium. RNAcentral's name for it is "partial 16S ribosomal RNA". It matches the Rfam family "Bacterial small subunit ribosomal RNA", at positions 28 to 507 of the family's 1533-position model. The record is from RNAcentral.